AGAGACUUAGCUCUGUACAAUCCGAACCGAUGAAACAUUGUGCAGAGU
This is a regulatory RNA element of Oscillibacter sp. 1-3, 48 nucleotides long. It matches the Rfam family "uup RNA". Lineage: Bacteria; Bacillati; Bacillota; Clostridia; Eubacteriales; Oscillospiraceae. The record is from Rfam.